This 464-nucleotide ribosomal RNA is filed under the name Vreelandella stevensii. RNAcentral describes it as "partial 16S ribosomal RNA". It matches the Rfam family "Bacterial small subunit ribosomal RNA", at positions 338 to 795 of the family's 1533-position model. Lineage: Bacteria; Pseudomonadati; Pseudomonadota; Gammaproteobacteria; Oceanospirillales; Halomonadaceae. The record is from RNAcentral.
CCUACGGGGUGCAGCAGUGGGGAAUAUUGGACAAUGGGCGAAAGCCUGAUCCAGCCAUGCCGCGUGUGUGAAGAAGGCCUUCGGGUUGUAAAGCACUUUCAGUGGGGAAGAAAGCCUUGGGGCUAAUACCCUCGAGGAAGGACAUCACCCACAGAAGAAGCACCGGCUAACUCCGUGCCAGCAGCCGCGGUAAUACGGAGGGUGCGAGCGUUAAUCGGAAUUACUGGGCGUAAAGCGCGCGUAGGCGGUCUGAUAAGCCGGUUGUGAAAGCCCCGGGCUCAACCUGGGAACGGCAUCCGGAGCUGUCAGGCUAGAGUGCAGGAGAGGAAGGUAGAAUUCCCGGUGUAGCGGUGAAAUGCGUAGAGAUCGGGAGGAAUACCAGUGGCGAAGGCGGCCUUCUGGACUGACACUGACGCUGAGGUGCGAAAGCGCGGGUAGCAAACAGGAUAGAUACCCGGGUAGUC